This 272-nucleotide ribosomal RNA is filed under the name uncultured bacterium. RNAcentral describes it as "partial 16S ribosomal RNA". It matches the Rfam family "Bacterial small subunit ribosomal RNA", at positions 86 to 354 of the family's 1533-position model. The record is from RNAcentral.
CCCGGGCGACCGGCGCACGGGUGAGUAACACGUAUGCAACCUGGCCGUGACAGAUGGAUAACCGGGAGAAAUCCCGCCUAAUACAACAUAAUGCCGGGAGGGGACAUCCCCUGCCGGUCAAAGGGGGCGACCCCGGUCAUGGAUGGGCAUGCGGCGCAUUAGGUAGUUGGUGGGGCAACGGCCCACCAAGCCGACGAUGCGUAGGGGUUCUGAGAGGAAGGUCCCCCACAUUGGAACUGAGACACGGUCCAAACUCCUACGGAAGGCAGCAG